RNAcentral lists this ribosomal RNA (1501 nucleotides) under Lactiplantibacillus plantarum. RNAcentral describes it as "bacterial SSU rRNA". It matches the Rfam family "Bacterial small subunit ribosomal RNA". Lineage: Bacteria; Bacillati; Bacillota; Bacilli; Lactobacillales; Lactobacillaceae. The record is from RNAcentral.
AUGCAUGGGGCAGCUAUACAUGCAAGUCGAACGAACUCUGGUAUUGAUUGGUGCUUGCAUCAUGAUUUACAUUUGAGUGAGUGGCGAACUGGUGAGUAACACGUGGGAAACCUGCCCAGAAGCGGGGGAUAACACCUGGAAACAGAUGCUAAUACCGCAUAACAACUUGGACCGCAUGGUCCGAGCUUGAAAGAUGGCUUCGGCUAUCACUUUUGGAUGGUCCCGCGGCGUAUUAGCUAGAUGGUGGGGUAACGGCUCACCAUGGCAAUGAUACGUAGCCGACCUGAGAGGGUAAUCGGCCACAUUGGGACUGAGACACGGCCCAAACUCCUACGGGAGGCAGCAGUAGGGAAUCUUCCACAAUGGACGAAAGUCUGAUGGAGCAACGCCGCGUGAGUGAAGAAGGGUUUCGGCUCGUAAAACUCUGUUGUUAAAGAAGAACAUAUCUGAGAGUAACUGUUCAGGUAUUGACGGUAUUUAACCAGAAAGCCACGGCUAACUACGUGCCAGCAGCCGCGGUAAUACGUAGGUGGCAAGCGUUGUCCGGAUUUAUUGGGCGUAAAGCGAGCGCAGGCGGUUUUUUAAGUCUGAUGUGAAAGCCUUCGGCUCAACCGAAGAAGUGCAUCGGAAACUGGGAAACUUGAGUGCAGAAGAGGACAGUGGAACUCCAUGUGUAGCGGUGAAAUGCGUAGAUAUAUGGAAGAACACCAGUGGCGAAGGCGGCUGUCUGGUCUGUAACUGACGCUGAGGCUCGAAAGUAUGGGUAGCAAACAGGAUUAGAUACCCUGGUAGUCCAUACCGUAAACGAUGAAUGCUAAGUGUUGGAGGGUUUCCGCCCUUCAGUGCUGCAGCUAACGCAUUAAGCAUUCCGCCUGGGGAGUACGGCCGCAAGGCUGAAACUCAAAGGAAUUGACGGGGGCCCGCACAAGCGGUGGAGCAUGUGGUUUAAUUCGAAGCUACGCGAAGAACCUUACCAGGUCUUGACAUACUAUGCAAAUCUAAGAGAUUAGACGUUCCCUUCGGGGACAUGGAUACAGGUGGUGCAUGGUUGUCGUCAGCUCGUGUCGUGAGAUGUUGGGUUAAGUCCCGCAACGAGCGCAACCCUUAUUAUCAGUUGCCAGCAUUAAGUUGGGCACUCUGGUGAGACUGCCGGUGACAAACCGGAGGAAGGUGGGGAUGACGUCAAAUCAUCAUGCCCCUUAUGACCUGGGCUACACACGUGCUACAAUGGAUGGUACAACGAGUUGCGAACUCGCGAGAGUAAGCUAAUCUCUUAAAGCCAUUCUCAGUUCGGAUUGUAGGCUGCAACUCGCCUACAUGAAGUCGGAAUCGCUAGUAAUCGCGGAUCAGCAUGCCGCGGUGAAUACGUUCCCGGGCCUUGUACACACCGCCCGUCACACCAUGAGAGUUUGUAACACCCAAAGUCGGUGGGGUAACCUUUUAGGAACCAGCCGCCUAAGGUGGGACAGAUGAUUAGGGUGAAGUCGAACAAGAGCUGCAC